This 900-nucleotide long non-coding RNA is filed under the name Pan troglodytes (chimpanzee). RNAcentral's name for it is "lincRNA". Lineage: Eukaryota; Metazoa; Chordata; Mammalia; Primates; Hominidae. The record is from RNAcentral.
AAUGCCAACAGCAGCCUCCUCUGCUCAUCUCUCCCGCUGCCCCCAUCAGAAAAUCCAUAACCACAACCUUUCCCAGCCUUUAAGCUGCCUCUGGAGAGUCAGGGAAGCCAACGGCAUCAUUGUUCACGCGGCAACUGUGCUGCACCUCGUUGUGCAGAAGCUUGGUGGGCGUCCGUGACUUCAGGAGCCCGUGAGAAGGGGAAGCCGUCGGUAUUGUGCCUCAUGCCAAAGAACCGGACUACCCACCAGGGACAGUUACUUGUCUUUUACAAUACCCAGGAAGUGCCCUUCAUCACAGAUGCUGAAGUUUGACUGUGGCCUUAUGCGGUACAUUGUGCUGACAUAUUUUCUCAUGGGAACUGUUGGGCUAGUUCAGGCAAGUAUCUGCAAUGCUUAAACAGACAGUUUCAGGCUGGAGAAUUUAAGAGACAACCAAAUAGAGUUUUAAUGCCCUGUAAGAUAAUAACGAAAGACAUUUAUGAAAAAAAAAAUUCCAGUUAGUUUGAAAGCCAGGGCCCGCACUCCAUAUUUUGACAGCAGAUGGAUGGCUAGCUUGACUGAUCCUGGUUUACUUUCUGACUUGAAUUUGUCCCCAGUCCAGUGAAAUCAUAAGGGCUCCCUUCAAUCUGGUUAAUGUUCAGAACCAAUGUUUGAGUUUUAGACUAAUUAAGGGGCAACCACUGACAUUUUUUCUAUAAUGUGAAGACUGGUGCCAGCAGUAACUCAGUGAGAUUUAACAUAAAAGCCAGAUAAAACAAUUAAAGUGGAAGAAUAUUUGAUUAAGUGGAUCACUGAUUUAUAGUGAGGUAAAUUGAAAUUGAAAGGAGAGUGAACUUUUUAUGGCAAUCAUAUAUUACGUUCAUUAUCAGAGACUCUGGAUCCUUUGUGCUUUUGUGAUUU